Molecule: long non-coding RNA, 475 nt
Filed under: Selaginella moellendorffii
Lineage: Eukaryota; Viridiplantae; Streptophyta; Lycopodiopsida; Selaginellales; Selaginellaceae
Description: long non-coding RNA (SMOE_LNC000655)
Source: RNAcentral
CUCGGUCUGGCGGGUAGAUCCCCGGACUGGGAUAAUUUUCUAGAUUUUUCUACUAGGAGGGCAGAGCAGAAUCGAGGCUGUUCUGAACGAGCAGCGAGGAGACUGUUGCAGAAUUCGCCUGAAACCAGCCCUGAAACUAGUUCGAGGACUUCGGACUCAAGUUUGAAUUGGGAGGAGUGGGGGCCAUUUGAACUAGCAUCGCCCACACCUCAAGCAGUAAAUCCUCAAAUGGCACAGCCUGCCAACGCAAGGAUGAAGUAUCCAACGUUUACACAGACUGACGAUCCAGACACUCACGUAACUGCUUUUGAAAACGUCAGCACAGCAAAUCAGGAGCAGGCAGAUGCUGUGAGAGUCCGUCUGUUUCUGGCGACGUUGCUGGGAGCAGCAGCAGAAUGGUAUGGUCAGGCGAAUGCAGCAGCAGCCUUUGCAGCCUGGGCAGACCUCAAAACGGCAUUUCUCAAUGCUUUCCGUC